CACGAGUUUCUUGUUUCGGGAUCAAAAUACUAUAACCAAGGCAGAGAAUUAAUCCCCAGUCAGUCUACCAUAUAAGAAGAUAUUACACAAUGGUGGCUUUAUACAAAUCACCAGCACUCACCACUCAACCGAGCUUCUUCAGAAAAACUCACAGAAAAUUUACAAAGAUGGUGUACAGAUAACUCUCUCUCACUAUCUUACUUUCUCUUGAUUGGUAUAUGAUCCCUCUCGCAUCAACUCAUCAACUCCUAGUCUUAUUUAUAGACACAGGACCAAAGAGAUUUACAAGCAAUGUAUAUAUGAUUCUGUUACAAUUUUUGAGGAUCCAACUGAUUGCAACUCACUUAACUGAUGAGUUUAACAACCAAGUCAAGAAUCAACAUCUUCUUUACACAAAUAUUUAAUAUGAGAGAAAUUUCAAAAGCGUCAAUUGUAUUACCUUUUCCUGAACCAAUGGAUGAAGAAUACAAUGAACUUCCUUGACAAACUAUUUAUAAAUUGAAUACGAUCAUUAAGGAAAAAGAAAACAAAAAUUUGUCCAGAAAGAGUACAAGCAGCCACACUCCGUGAGGAGCAGAAUCACAAACUAUUAUGCUACAACAUGUGAACAACUUGAAUUAGGCACUAAGAGGAUGUUUGACACCCAUUUUUAUGGAAAAAUGAAUUUUUAAAAAUAGU
Molecule: long non-coding RNA, 678 nt
Filed under: Olea europaea subsp. europaea
Lineage: Eukaryota; Viridiplantae; Streptophyta; Magnoliopsida; Lamiales; Oleaceae
Source: RNAcentral